Molecule: long non-coding RNA, 448 nt
Organism: Leopardus geoffroyi (Geoffroy's cat)
Lineage: Eukaryota; Metazoa; Chordata; Mammalia; Carnivora; Felidae
Exons: 2
Source: RefSeq, a predicted model, not a curated record
UUCUAACCGCAUCAGUGGGAAGAGCCGGCCAAUUAUAUUACGUGACAAUUUCAUUGUAACUUUUGGCCUGUAGUUCGGCUCUUACCCCUGUCAGAUUAUUUUAGUUCCCUUUUGCAGUUUUAUUUCUUCACCCAACAACAAUUCUUGGGUGUCUAUUACGCGCAGGCGCUGUCUGGGCCCUGAGGAUACAGCAGAGGGUAAGGUCGGGGAUUGGAAGGGAUCCUGCAUCAACGUGUCCUUGACUUUGUGGCAGCAGACUUCCUUCCCAGUUUCCGAAUUAUGUUUGUCAGCCAUCUUGUUUCACCUGCCUGGUACCUCGCGUCAACACCAUUUUCUACUCAAAUCUGCACUGCCCUUCCAGGGUCUCCGCGAACUUGGAAACCCAUGUUUCAGAAGCUCCUUGUGGGGCAUCCUUCUGGGUGGAAACCUUGGAGCUAGCUUCACUUUC